GCAGAGCAAUGGAGGCUCAUUUCCAAUAAGAUUUCGUGGCUGUACGUAAUGUGUUAUUGAGCGUGUGAAAAGUGAAGAUUUCCGUGUGAUAGUGAUACUUUUCUCGACCGUGAACGCCAGUGAACACAUUGCCGUAGAUCUCUACUGGCAUGGAGCUAGGAGCGCACUGAUAGUGAUAGUCUACGAGAUCUUGGUUUCUAUGCAUUGCCUGCCAAAGAAGAACUGAGCCCAAUGUUUCCACACAAUUCUAGUUCACAUGAGAUUUCUACUGAAACAAAUGCCUUCGUACAAAAUUCCAAGGGGGAUGUAGUAUUAUUAAUGGCAAGUUGUCCGAGUGGGGUGGAGGAGGGGAAAAGACCAGAUAGCGUUAGGUCCUGUGAUAUCGAAUCCACAAACAACAGUACUAUGGCACGACCUACCAGCCACCCCGUCGCUACCACCACCAAUGACUUCUUAACCGUCCUGCCACGCCAAUCUGGUGAGCUUGGCUCAGCGGCUAAAGGCAAGGCCUGCCAGUCAGUGGCGUCAGCAAUCACAAAAAAUCCAACAAAUCACUUUCUAAUCUACGAUAAUAAUAAAAUAAAUAACCACAACAAUGCAGAACAUAAUCAUCACAAAUACAGAAAGCAAAACAAACCGGGUUCGCCUGGGCAGCUGGGAAGCUCCGCCGAUAACUCUAAGUCUAUUUCUAAGCUCUUAAGUGAUAAUAAGGAUAGCUUUAGUGAUCUAAGCAUUAGGGUACUACAACUAAGUCUAAAUUUAAAGGUGACAAGGGGCGAAGUACGUGAAUCUGCGGGGGAGCCUAGCCUAGUUAGGAUACCCAAGUCUGAUUGCCCCCCGUGGCUGUCGCACGAAUCGUCCGUUGUCGAGAAUUACUCCUUACUAGGGUCCCGCCUUGAUAAGGGCGAAAACAAUAACCUUAAGGCUAAUCUUAGUUUCGUAAGUAAUAAUAAUUACUCCAAAUCUGUGAUAUUGCUCAGCUCAACCCGCGACGGAGACUACUAUCUGCGCUCCGAAAGCGGCGGUGUCGGAGAAGGCACAGCUCUCGAAAAUUUUCGAUUCAAAAAUAAUUCUUCAAGCCGAUGGGAAAGUGUGAAAUUACUAGCUGUUAAGUACUCUCCUGUUACCAAGCAUGAUGGGGCGUGCAGAAAAUUGACCCAAAAUGAUCUUCAAAAUGUUAAACUUGUGAUCUUAUACUCAGAUUGCCAUCUCUCUUACAAAGAUCAUCAUUUCCAGGAUUCUCAAAGUGAUCUUGACACAACUGAUAUUUGGUUCAAUCGACCAAAGUUUGUCACAAAACUCUUAAAACUGCAUUUUGACAAUAUCGAUACAUUAGAGUUGUUGUCCCUCGCACAAGCUCGGAAUUUCGACAUCUGUUCUUCCAAUUCGCUUAUCGUUACGACAAACGAAUCCACCUCUCUGCUGCGAUCUUUGACCGAAGAAAAUCUUACGAAAGUUCAACCUUCUCGACACGCUACUGUGAACGAGCUGAUGCAACGCAUAUGUGUUCCAUUAAUGAUAGAAUGUAAGGUUUAUGUUAACAACGGUAGUAAUAAUAACAAUAAUAAUAACAACAAUAUUAUUAUUGGAGAAGAAAUGAAUAUUAAUAACAAUAAUCCAGAUGUUAUCGAAGACAUUGUUAACGUCGCUGUGUGCUACAAGACUAGUUGUACUAUGACUACUAAUUAUAGGCUAGGGUUUCAAAAUGAUGGUAUUAGCUAUACCCAAGCAACAAUGUUUACUGUUGGUGCUCUUUCAUUUCAGGAUAACAAUAAGUCUAACAAGCCUCUACACGCUAGCUUUAAGGAUGAUAAUUAUCAAGUGUCUGCUAAGAUCGACGAUAAGUUUAACUUUAACCUUAAGUCUGUAUCUAAGUCUACGCUAAGUGUUAGGUUUAGUGAUAAGUCUGAAACGUCUCACGCUACUCGACUCAACAAAUCUGACGAAAAAAUGCACGUUCUGUCGGCUGUUAACAUUCCUACACUGACUACCUGCGAGCCUACGAUGACGCUUAAAUGCCAACCAGCCACCGUCGCAUCCCAAACUAACACUGUACCUGCCUCUCAAGUGGAGAAACACUCAAAAGUUGAUUAUAAAACUGUACUGUUGAAAUCAAGUUACCUUACAUAUGACCAGGAAUCAACUACAAGUAACAGAAAUUCAUCAGACCAUGACCAAAAUGAUAAUGACUUCGUCUCCCUUAACGAGGAAUCUUACGAAAACGACAUUGGUUUUUCAAACCCAUUGAAGAACGAUGAAUAUGAUAACGAUAAUGAAGAUGAUGAUGAUGACAACGACGACCACCACGACGAUAUCACACCCAAGAAUAUCUUACAAUCUGCAAAAUAUUACCAGAUGACAUCAUUCCAUGAUGGCUGUGCUGACCGUAACAAUGAUGAUUGCAACGAUAACGGCGAACUGUUCAACACCAACAGCCCGACCUCAGAUAUCCAAAAACCGAUAGACUUGUUUGCAAACGUGCGUGACCUGCUCUCUAGCUAUCAAAAAGCUUACAAAAGCGACUCGGCACAAAGUGAAAUUCUCUGUGAACAAUUAAGAAAAGCUCUGCAAAGUAUGUUCAAUCGUCCAAAUUCUUGCAACGAAAUGUAUCAAUCUUCACUGGGAUACAAGAAAAGAUGGGGAAUACCGAUAAUCUCAGGCUUGGCUGGGGGCGGAGAAAGUUCGCUGAACACUGGAACUGCCGCUAGCUGGGGAACAGCACCACCUGCGGCGCCUAACAACAAUAAUGCCACUCAAUCCGGCUGGGGUGGAACACCGGGAAAUCCACCGGUAGGCACUGGACCACCGAAUAACUGGGGUGGCAAUAAUGUGAAUCGACCAGUCACCGCAAAUCCCAAUCAGAAUCAGAAUCAAGGACCGCCUAGUAGCCAGAACAUCCCAGGUGAGGGUAAUGUGAACAAAGUAACCAAUCCAAACCAAUCUCAAAAUCCACAAUCUGGACCACCUACAUCUCAGUCAACUAACUCAACAUCAGGGAACCAGAAUAACGGACAGUGGCCUCAGGGAAAAUCCAGCAAUCCUGGAGGACCUACUCAAAAUCAAUCUUCUCAGAAUAACAACAACCCGUCUCAACAACCCACGCAGCCAGGAAGUAAUGCUAAUAACAAUCCGACUAACAGUGCAACGUCGUCGACUGGAAACAACGCGACAACAGCUGCUAGCAACAAUCCUUCUUCAAAGCAACAACUCGAACAAUUGAACACCAUGCGAGAAGCCUUGUUCAGUCAAGACGGCUGGGGUUGUCAACACGUGAAUCAAGAUACGAGCUGGGAAGUUCCAUCAUCUCCGGAACCGAGUAUGACCAAAGAUGGCGUUCCCAUGUGGAAACCACCUGUGAACAAUGGUACAGAUUUGUGGGAAGCUAACUUACGAAACGGAGGACAACCGCCUCCUCAACAACAAGCCAAAACACCAUGGGGACACACUCCUUCAACAAAUAUUGGUGGUACUUGGGGUGAGGAUGACGAUGCUGCUGAUUCGUCAAACAUGUGGACUGGAGCGCCGACUCCUAAUCAGCCCAAUACAGCUCAGUGGCCUGGAGCAGCUACCAACCAGUCCAGUGGCAUGUCUGGCGGUGGGUCCAGUUGGGGUGAUCCAAGAAUGGAUCCCAGGGAUCCUCGAGACUUGAGAACGGUAGACCCGAGAGAAAUGCGUGAUCCACGAGAUCAUAGAAUAUCCCUAGACCCACGAGAUCAUAUGAGAGUAAUGGACCCCAUGAGCCGUGAUCCACGAAUGCCCGAUAUGCGUGGCGAUCCGCGCGGUAUUUCUGGCCGUCUGAAUGGCGCAAGUGCCGAUGCCAUGUGGGGACAACCACCAGGACCACCGCAUCACCAAAUGAGUCACCAACACCCGACGGGACCCCCUGCAAAGAUGGUAAAUCCAUCCAGUAUAAACCAGUGGGCAGCGCCACCGCCCAAAGAAAUGAUGCCAGGAAAGCCGUCUGGAUGGGAAGAACCUUCGCCGCCUACUCAGCGUAGGAAUGUUCCAAAUUACGACGACGGUACUAGCCUCUGGGGUAAUCCAGCUCCAAACCCACGUCCAAUGCCAGGUAGCAAAGUUUCCCACUGGAAAGAUCUACCGACACCGAAUCUGGGCCGUGGAGGAAUGCCCUGCCCACCUGGUAUGCCGCAAAACCGAAUGCCUGGACAGCCAGGCAUGAAACCGGAUGUCGGUGGCCCAAUGUGGGGCCAUCCAACUGGCCCUGGUGGAAGUGGCGGUGGAGGCGGAGCGGGAGGCGGUGGCGGCGGUACGGGCGGUGGUGGAGGUGCUGGGCGCAAUGGAUCCUGGGGAGAUGGGCCUCACGACACUGCUGGUUGGGAAGACCAAAAAACGCCUGCUGCUUGGAACGAGCCCCAGAUAAAUCCUCCUUCUUCAUGGGGAGGCCCGACGAGUCAUAAACCAAAACCUAUGGGACCCACCGGAGGGUGGGGAGACACAGACAUGGACCCGACGACAAGCUGGGCUCAUCCACCGAAACAAAUACUCACCAAAGAAGUUAUUUGGAAUAGCAGAGAGUUCAGAUAUCUCUGUGAUCUUGGCUACAAGAAGGAAGAUGUGGAAACUGCAUUAAGAAAUCGCGAAAUGAACAGAGACGAAGCACACGAACUUCUCAUUCAAGUACGUCCUCAAGAUCAUUGGCGUCGUCAAGACAGUCAUACUGGAUACGAUCCUGCUAGUCAAUCUGCUGCCGCUGCCGGAUAUCCGCCACGGUUUAAUCACGUUGCCCAACAGAUAUCUUUCCCACCGGGGGCCGGAAUGCCUAGCGUGGGGGCCUCUGGUGGUAUGAGUGGUUCAGUCGCCAGCGCCAGUCUCCUCAAGCUCCAACAACAACAGCAACAACAAGCAGCUGUACAGUUGCAGCAACAACAGCCCAGUGUCACGGCGGCGCCGCAGCCACCUUUCAAUCAGACAUCAAGAACACCACAAAAUCAACCAAGUACCCAACAACUCCGAAUGCUCGUACAACAAAUUCAAUUGGCUGUUCAGGAAGGCUAUUUGAAUCAUCAGAUAUUGAACCAGCCAUUGGCUCCGCAGACUUUAAUCCUGCUUAACCAGCUAUUGCAGCAAAUCAAAGUGCUACAACAAUUGCAUCAGCAACAUUCAGUGCAGUUAUCUCUGAAAGGAAACAGUCAAACCGGGCUGCAGAUUAGCGUACAGAUAACUAAGACUAAACAACAGAUCGCGAAUCUGCAGAAUCAAAUUGCAGUUCAACAAGCAACGUACAUGAAACAACAACAGCAGCAACAGCAUCCAGCAGCACCAUCUCAAGCAUCGGAUUACUACAAAACAUCUGUACAUGAUCCUAUGUCUGCGUUGCAAAAUACCUUCAGUGACUUAACUAUGAACAAGGAACCUCAAGUGAGUCAACAACAGUCUCGUUUGAAUCAGUGGAAACUACCAUCCCUGGACAAAGAAAGCGAUCUUGGUACUAAUGAAUUUUCACGAGCUCCUGGUACUACGAGCAAACCGCCGACUACACCAGGUGGUCUCACUCAAUCACACAGCAGUCCUAACAUGAAUCCUUUACUAGGACAAGGAGACGGGACCUGGUCUUCUAGACUUGGUGACAGCGGAUGGCCAGACGCUGGUACCAGUGAUUCUACAGAUGGGAAAGACUGGCAACCGGGUGUUGCUGCUUUCACUGAUCUGGUACCAGAGUUUGAACCUGGCAAGCCAUGGAAGGGGAAUCAGAUGAAGAGCAUUGAGGAUGAUCCAAGUAUUACUCCCGGAUCAGUUGUACGCUCGCCUUUGUCGCUUGCUGCAAUCAAAGAUCCCGACGCAAUAUUUUCAUCGAGCACCAAAACCUCGCCGCCACCUUCAGCCAAUGCAGACACUUCGAUCCCCAGUCUAAGUAACUCGACUUGGAGUUUCAAUCCACCGGCAACGACACCCAGCGGUUUUGCUAGUUCUAAGAAUACCUGGGGUGAAGCUGCUCCACCGCCUACCGCUGUUACUUCUGAGUUGUGGGGCGCUCCGAUGAGCAAAGCCCGAGGACCUCCCCCUGGAUUAGGAAGCAAGGGCGGUGCAAGUGCCAGCAAUGGUUGGGGCGGUUUGGCCGGAGUCAAUCGUUCGUCCAGUUCGUGGGGUCUCCAGUCCGGCGCCGUUGGUAACACUGCCUGGGUCUCAACUUGGCUUUUGCUGAAAAACUUGACGCCACAAAUCGAUGGAUCUACACUGAAGACGUUGUGCAUGCAGCAUGGGCCUGUACAAGACUUCAGACUGUACUUGAACCACGGAAUUGCUUUGGCUAAAUAUUCGUCGAGAGAUGAAGCUAUCAAGGCACAAGGAGCACUGAACAACUGCGUUCUUGGCAACACGACAAUAUUUGCCGAAUCUCCUGCUGACAGUGAGGUUCACACACUGUUGCAACAACUCGGCCAUGGCGGUCAGCAACAAACCGCUGGAUCGGCGGGUUCCGGAUGGGGUCUUAGACCUACUAGCAAAGCCGGUCCACCACCAGACACGUGGGGCGGUAGCUCAAGUCAGCUUUGGGGAGCCCCACCCGGUGGUAAUUCACUGUGGAGUAACACAGGCAUUGAUAGCGGCGAUCAACAAAGAGCUACGCCAAGCUCGUUGAACUCUUACCUGCCCGGAGAUCUUUUGGGAGGUGAGUCCAUGUAGGCAGCUCCCAAUAUCAUGCGAAAUAAGACACGAAAUACUCAAUACAUGACGAAAGUCGAGAAAGAAUGGUAUAAAACGAUGUAACUUCGAUAAAUUUACGACUCGCAUUUCUACUACGAUUGUGACCAUACGCGUACAUACACACAUAUAUAUAUAUAUAUAUAUAUGUAUGAUAUAUAUAUAUAUAUAUAUAAUAUUCUCCAUACGUAGGGUUUUUCUCAUAAUUUAAGGAAUCGUUGCACAGUAUAACAGAGAGCUCGUACCACUGAUACAAGACAAUGAUGAAUCCUUGUGUGAACUGAAAUAGUCAAUUUUUAAAUAUCUGAUGAGUGAAAAUUAUAAUCGAUUUAAAAGGAAGCAGAAAGAAAUAACGCACGAGACAAGGAGAUGGAAAUGAACGAAUGUAGAAUAAAAAAGACUAAAUACAGACUAACAAGAAGAAAAGAAAAACAAAACCAAUAAGAAAUAAUCUUUGGACUGUGGAAACAACUGAGAGAUCCUCAAAAUUCUUUGCGACUGAUCGGAUUUUAAUAAUUCCUAAAUUAUUAUCUAAGAUCCACUGACAUUUCCACCGACAUAUCCGUCAACAGGAACGACCUCUUUGUAUCGAUCUGUGAUCUCUGAAUAAAUCAGUGAAUAAGUCUGGUUCUGUGGCCACUGACUGUGCUAUGUUAUUGGUUGUACGCUGUACCUAUGAGGCAGCACCUUAAUAAUUCCUUAUUACUGCUCUUAAUACCACUUAUUAUAAUUAAAUAAUAAGAUACUCUUAUUAAUUGUUUGUAUUUUAAUUUUUUAUGAAACUUAACUUUCUUAGUCGAAUGGAUACUUACGGAGUCAGUGGACGAGAUGUGUACGGAUGAUUCAAAAUCACGUUCCAAGGCUCAAAUUGACCAAAAAUCUAAUAUUUAUAAAUUACUCAAUUAUC
Molecule: RNA transcript, 7567 nt
Organism: Diprion similis
Lineage: Eukaryota; Metazoa; Arthropoda; Insecta; Hymenoptera; Diprionidae
Gene: gw
Gene name: trinucleotide repeat-containing gene 6C protein
Exons: 17
Source: RefSeq, a predicted model, not a curated record